This 168-nucleotide unclassified non-coding RNA is filed under the name uncultured Oidiodendron. RNAcentral's name for it is "sequence contains ITS1". The record is from RNAcentral. Lineage: Eukaryota; Fungi; Ascomycota; Leotiomycetes; Myxotrichaceae.
CAGAGUUCUCGCCCCCACGGGUAGAUCUCCCACCCACUGUUAUCGUUACCAUCGUUGCUUUGGCGGGCCGCCGGGCCCUGCCCGGCCCCCGGCGCCGGCUGGGGCGCGCCCGCCAGAGGCCCUACAAACUCUGAAUGUCAGCGUCGUCUGAGUACUAUACAAUAGUUA